This is a long non-coding RNA of Helianthus annuus (common sunflower), 572 nucleotides long. RefSeq lists it as uncharacterized. The record is from RefSeq and is a predicted model, not a curated record. NCBI's taxonomy places the organism in Eukaryota, Viridiplantae, Streptophyta, Magnoliopsida, Asterales, Asteraceae. The transcript has 4 exons.
UUGCCACCGUAUCAGCGACCGAUGAAAUUUGAGCAAUUUGAGCGGGUUUAUUUUUAUCUUGAGCACCUCUCCACUAAUUAGGGUUUCAAUUCAAUUUUACUCCAAGAAACAUAUUCACUGUCGUUCGCCCCUAUACACCAGAACACAACGAUCUACACAAGGCUUUUGUUACCUCUAUAAAAUCAUCAUCCUUCUCCUUCCUACAGAAAAUCCAAGAAAUUUCACCUUUUAGAACUAAUACCAUAUUUGGAAAAGUGUACCGGUUAGGCAAUGUUAGUCACCAUGUGUACAUAGCAGAGAAGAACCUUAGAUUGAAAAGUUGAACUUAGUUAUCAAAGAGCUCGUUAAGGAAAAGGACGUAGAAAAAGAAAGGUUAAAUGGAAUUAUUGCGGGGUUGUUGGCUCAUAAAGAAAAAGAUAAGGUGGAUAAAGAUGUUAUGCUCAAUAGGAUGUCACAAAGUGAGGCUACAUUAACAGCUACAAUUCAAAGAUAGGUUAUAAACGCUUGGUUUUGAAUGUUUCGAUGUUCAUCAUAUUGGGAUAGUUUCAUUUAUCUAUUUAAUGUUUUGGUCG